GUCCACGCCGUAAACGAUGGAUGCUAGCCGUUGGUAAGCAUGCUUAUCAGUGGCGCAGCUAACGCAUUAAGCGUCCCGCCUGGGGAGUACGGCCGCAAGGUUGAAACUCAAAGGAAUUGACGGGGGCCCGCACAAGCGGUGGAGCAUGUGGUUUAAUUCGACGCAACGCGCAGAACCUUACCAGGGUUUGACAUCCCGCGCUAAACCCAGAGAUGGGGUGGUCCCCGCAAGGGGCGCGGAGACAGGUGCUGCAUGGCUGUCGU
RNAcentral lists this ribosomal RNA (263 nucleotides) under uncultured bacterium. RNAcentral describes it as "partial 16S ribosomal RNA". It matches the Rfam family "Bacterial small subunit ribosomal RNA", at positions 793 to 1055 of the family's 1533-position model. The record is from RNAcentral.